This is an RNA transcript of Arachis duranensis, 980 nucleotides long. RefSeq lists it as uncharacterized. Lineage: Eukaryota; Viridiplantae; Streptophyta; Magnoliopsida; Fabales; Fabaceae. The record is from RefSeq and is a predicted model, not a curated record. The transcript is spliced from 2 exons.
UUCAUUCAUUCAUGUACUGGAAAACUCUGAAUCAAAGAAGCCCUAGCCGGCUAGCCCUCCAUCGUCGCCGCCUAACCCAGGUCCUCAGCGCCGCCGCUGCUUCCUCUUCCCCGUGUCGUUUUCAUCUUCGCUGGUACAUCGUUUUCAUCUUCCUCUUCCCCAGGUGGCUCGGCACGUCGUUUUCAUCUUCGCUGUCUUCUCUGCACGGAACCCAGAACCUUGUAAAGAUGUCACACAGCUUGAGGUCCCUCAGAAGGCUCUUCACUCUCACCCCCAAACCCUCCUCCUCCGUCAUCUCCACGUGCCGCCACGUCUCCACGGAGACACGCUCCGAGAAGCUGGAGUGGAUUGCCUACGAUCUCCUCCUCCUCGACAGGCUUGAGCGCCACGACUUCUCCGGAGGCUCAAAUUGGGCCUCGACCGAUUCGCUGGCCCAGCCGCGGAUCUCGGCCCAGUUGGCCCAGCAUCAGGUGCUGGUAGUGCGGGGGCGGAUGCUAGUGCGGGAGCGGCGGCGGAGGAGAAGACGGUGUUCGAUAUAAAGCUGGAGAAAUACGAUGCCGCAUCGAAGAUAAAGAUCAUAAAGGAAGUUAGGGCUUUCACCGAUUUGGGGCUUAAGGAAGCGAAGGAUUUGGUCGAGAAGGUUCCUUGCGUCUUGAAGAAGGGUCUCACUAAGGACGAAGCUGAUCCCAUUCUCCAGAAGCUCAAAGAUUUGGGUGCCACUGUUGUAUUGGAUUGAUUCCCAAUUCUUUUUUUUCUUUUUGGUUGUAGAAUCAUUCAUCACUUGCCUCCAUAGCUUCAUUUUCAUUAAAAUGUGAUGAUAAUGUGAUUUUUAGUUCUCAAAUACAAAAGUUAUAUGAACAUAAUAAGGACUUAGAACGAUAAUGAAUAAUUUUCACUAUAACAGUAAAAGGAAACAUAAACCAACCAUGGUCUAAGUUUAAGAGAGUUUAUUAGUUUAUAACUUAUUGUUAUUAUUUUCU